CCGGUCGGUCAAGUCCUGGGCACCUUUAGGUGAAAUAAAGUGUUUAGGUGUCCUCCAGCGCCAGGAAGUGGAAGUAUUCUCAGAUGGUAUACAAGGUGUUGGACAAAGACGUGAUCCAUAUUCUAGGAAUUUACAGUCUAAUUUGGUAGAUAUGAUAUAUGCGUAAUUAACAUAAGGCGACUGCUAGUGAGUACCAACCUUGUGGAAGAGGAGGCAACAAAGGAGACGAGCGAGAAACAUUAAAAUAAGCCCAGCAGGAGACAAUGCUAUUCAAAAUCAGAAAAUCAGACCUUCUACUGGGAGAAAUAGCCACUUUUCACAGCCCGCCCUCCCCACCUCCCUGUAGAAAUCUGUUUACAUUUGCCUUCACAUCUGCCAAGCUGUAUGGUGCAGAACUCUCUAGAGCCUCAUCCCAAACUUGAAUUUGUCCAACCAACUGGACAAAGACCCUGUACUGAGAAAAAUGUUACCCUUGAUCAGAGGCAACCCUCUACUUAGAGAUGAAUGGCCCUACUAAGAAAGGGGAAAACCCAAGCUACUUAAUUUUCAUAACAGAAUAUUGUCUUUGCUGCUCAAAUAAAUGU
Molecule: long non-coding RNA, 584 nt
Organism: Eptesicus fuscus (big brown bat)
Lineage: Eukaryota; Metazoa; Chordata; Mammalia; Chiroptera; Vespertilionidae
Exons: 3
Source: RefSeq, a predicted model, not a curated record